GACCUUUCAUUUCUACCUUAGAUGGUGCUGUCAGCAUCUCCCUAGAUAAUACUUGCUUUUAUUGCAGCCCCAGAACCUGAGAUUUUCCCACCAUCACAGCCACCAAUAGGUAAUGAAGUUUCCUCUAGUGAGUGAAAAAGAAUUCACUUACUUUCACUUACUAUGUCCAAGUUCGUCUUUAGCUUUGGAUUUUUUAAAAAAAUUAUUUCUUGAUUGUCCUUCAGAUCUUGCUUUCAGCUGUUUCUGCCAGAAGAUAAGCUCUCUGCUGCCUUGACUAAGUGGAAGCUCUGAGACAGUCAUACUGAUUUUGAUUUGCCACAUUCCUUUUUGUUCCUUCUUAUAUCUGUGUCCUGAGCUUGUUUUAACCUCAUUAUUCCCCACAGAGGACCAUGGCUUCCCCAGGACAUAUUUAUGCUUUCAUUUUUAGAGUUUUGUUUUUUUUUUUUUU
RNAcentral lists this long non-coding RNA (448 nucleotides) under Bos taurus (domestic cattle). RNAcentral describes it as "long non-coding RNA NONBTAT000379". Lineage: Eukaryota; Metazoa; Chordata; Mammalia; Artiodactyla; Bovidae. The record is from RNAcentral.